RNAcentral lists this ribosomal RNA (561 nucleotides) under Triticum aestivum (bread wheat). Its description in RNAcentral is "partial small subunit ribosomal RNA". Lineage: Eukaryota; Viridiplantae; Streptophyta; Magnoliopsida; Poales; Poaceae. The record is from RNAcentral.
AACCUGAUCGCCCAUGCUACUAACUUUUAUAAAGAGCUUUUCGGCCCAGCUCAAGGCAACCAAUUCCAUUUGCACCCUAAUACUUGGGCUGAUGAUAAAAAGUUGAGCGAGGAUGAUAAUAGAGACCUCUGUCGCGAAUUCACGGAGACUGAAGUUAGAGAUGCUCUUUUAUCUAUGGCCACCAAUAGGGCACCUGGACCGGAUAAUAUUCCUAUUGAAUUUUAUCAAAUAUGCUGGGAUAUAGUAAAGGAAGAUAUCAUGUCCCUUUUUAGACACUUCCAUAAUGGGAUGCUUGAUGUUCAACGUCUUAAUUAUGGAGUGAUCACUUUACUUCCAAAAGUGUCGGGAGCUGACAAAAUCCAACAGUUCAGGCCAAUCUGUCUCUUGAGGUGCCCAUAUAAGCUCAUUACAAAAGUAAUGGACCGUAGGGUGGAGGUGUAUGCUGAUAAGUUGAUUAGUUCUACCCAGAAUGCGUUUGUUAAGGCUAGGAACAUUAUGGAUGGGGUGCUCUCUUUACAUGAAAUUUUGAACUACACUCACGUUAAAAAAGAGUUGGCAUAG